RNAcentral lists this small RNA (918 nucleotides) under uncultured Myxococcales bacterium. RNAcentral describes it as "bacterial SSU rRNA". The stretch from base 1 to 469 matches the Rfam family "Bacterial small subunit ribosomal RNA", at positions 1064 to 1533 of the family's 1533-position model. The record is from RNAcentral. Lineage: Bacteria; Pseudomonadati; Myxococcota; Myxococcia; Myxococcales.
GUCGUGAGAUGUUGGGUUAAGCCCCGCAACGAGCGCAACCCCUGUCGUUAGUUGCCAACAGGAAAGCUGGGCACUCUAACGAGACUGCCGACGUUAAGUCGGAGGAAGGUGGGGAUGACGUCAAGUCCUCAUGGCCCUUAUGCCCAGGGCUACACACGUGCUACAAUGGCCGGUACAAAGGGUUGCGAGCCUGCGAGGGUGAGCCAAUCCCAAAAAACCGGUCUCAGUUCGGAUAGAAGUCUGCAACUCGACUUCUUGAAGUCGGAAUCGCUAGUAAUCGCGGAUCAGCACGCCGCGGUGAAUACGUUCCCGGGCCUUGUACACACCGCCCGUCACACCAUGGGAGUCAGUUGCUCCAGAAGUGGCUUGCCUAACCGUAAGGAGGGCGGUCCCUAAGGAGUGGCUGGUAACUGGGGUGAAGUCGUAACAAGGUAACCGUAGGGGAACCUGCGGUUGGAUCACCUCCUUUCUGGAGUCUCGGUGCUCUCGGGCACCGGACAUCAAGGUCAAUCCAAUUUCCUUCGCGUUCAGUCUUGAGAGACCGACUGGGCCUGUAGCUCAGCUGGUUAGAGCACACGCUUGAUAAGCGUGGGGUCGUUAGUUCAAAUCUAACCAGGCCCACACGCCGUUGUUUGACAACCGAAUAGAAGACGAAGCGCGAAUCAAGUACACGCUGCAUUAUAGAAUGCGUGCGAGAUUCGUUGAGUCAAGGUAUCCCGGCCCUAUCUGAGGGGACGGGAUAAGAUCUCGAAAAGCGAACCUUGGUCUUGACCCCGCAGGAGAUGAAGAUCUCCGACAGGUUGGUGGUCAAGCUACUAAGGGCACUCGGUGGAUGCCUUGGCGUCAGGAGGCGAAGAAGGACGUGGUUAGCUGCGAUAAGCCAUGGGGAGCCGCAAGCAGGCGUCGAUCCAUGGAUGU